RNAcentral lists this ribosomal RNA (257 nucleotides) under uncultured bacterium. RNAcentral's name for it is "partial 16S ribosomal RNA". It matches the Rfam family "Bacterial small subunit ribosomal RNA", at positions 524 to 776 of the family's 1533-position model. The record is from RNAcentral.
UACGGGGGGGGGCAAGCGUUGUUCGGAAUUACUGGGCGUAAAGGGCGCGCAGGCGGCCUUAGAAGUCAGAUGUGAAAGCCCCGGGCUCAACCUGGGAAUGGCAUUUGAUACUCUGAGGCUGGAGUUCGGUAGGGGAGACUGGAAUUCCUGGUGUAGCGGUGAAAUGCGCAGAUAUCAGGAGGAACACCGGUGGCGAAAGGCGGGGUCUCUGGGCCGAUGACUGACGCUGAGGAGCGAAAGCGUGGGGAGCGAACAGG